AUACGGAGGGUGCAAGCGUUACUCGGAAUCACUGGGCGUAAAGCGCGCGCAGGCGGUCUUUUAAGUUGGAUGUGAAAGCCUACGGCUCAACCGUAGAACUGCAUCCAAAACUAUUAGACUAGAGUGUGGGAGAGGAAGAUGGAAUUAGUUGUGUAGGGGUAAAAUCCGUAGAGAUAACUAAGAAUAUCAAAAGCGAAGGCAAUCUUCUGGAACACUACUGACGCUGAGGCGCGAAAGCGUGGGGAGCAAACAGGAUUAGAAACCCUAGUAGUCC
This 274-nucleotide ribosomal RNA is filed under the name uncultured bacterium. RNAcentral describes it as "partial 16S ribosomal RNA". It matches the Rfam family "Bacterial small subunit ribosomal RNA", at positions 523 to 796 of the family's 1533-position model. The record is from RNAcentral.